Molecule: long non-coding RNA, 1085 nt
Filed under: Oryza sativa aus subgroup
Lineage: Eukaryota; Viridiplantae; Streptophyta; Magnoliopsida; Poales; Poaceae
Description: lncRNA OsNaBo_02g0020870
Source: RNAcentral
ACGUACUAUUCCACUCUCUAACCUUAUCAUCACUUCAAUACACAAACCCAGCGCGAGACUUAGCAGUGUCUAGUGUCAGAGCGCAACAGUAGCAGCUCGAUCGCCUCGCCUCGCCUCGCCUCGUCCAUGGAGGACGACGACGACGACUUCACGUUCCCCGCGCCGGCGGCGACGGCGGUGGCGGCGGCGGCGACGUCGUCGCUGGCACCGAGCAGCCAGGGCGGCCUCCUCUGGCCAUUCUCAUCCACGAUGGCUACGGCGGACGACGACGACGACGACGACGCGGCGUCGGGCGGCCAGGCGGUGGCGGCGACGGCGCCGGUAGCAGCAGCACGGCGCGUCGACGAGGAGGAGGAGGAGGAGCGGAUGGACCAGCUGUGGGAGCGCGACCGCGACGCGCGCGCCGGCGACGAGGAGAGGAUGGACCUGCUGUGGGAGGACUUCAACGACGAGCUCCUGCUUCAGCUCCGGCGCCGCCAGCAGCAGCGCGCGGCGGCCGGGACGCCUCCGUCACCGUCACCCGCGGCGGCGGCCGACGACGACGACGAGGAGGAGACGCCGUCGUCGUCCCCACCGGGAGGAGGAGGAGGGCUGUACGGGUGCGCGCCGACGAUGCUGAGGGCGUCGUCGCGGGCGGGCGCCGUGGGCCAGUUCUACGGCGGCCGCCGUGGCGGCGGCGGCGGGAGCAGGGCGACGACGGGGUGGGAGCUGCUGCUGAGGCUCUUCCGGAAGCUGUUCGCCGUCGACAAGUCGUCGCCGUCGCCGGAGCCGCCGUGCCGCCACCACCAUCGCCGCCACGGGAGCAUCUACGUGCCAUGAUUAGCGCUAGCUUACUCUUAAUUACUAUUCUCUCGCCGCACAUACAUUCGCGGCAAAGUAAUUAAUUAACCUACUGUGUGUAAUUAAAAGCAUCUUCUGGAGCUCAGCUCAGUGUUUUUUUUUCCCUUUUCAAAAUUAAAUGCACACCAUGUAUGCAUAAUCGAUCGUACAGUCAACAUUAGGAUUUAAAUUCAGUUAUAAAUGUUGAGGAGUUCUUGGUUUUGUUUUUUCUGGGUAAGAGGAAAAUUAUUGCUUUUGUUUCCCCA